Erinaceus europaeus (western European hedgehog) is the source of this 1414-nucleotide long non-coding RNA. RefSeq lists it as uncharacterized. The record is from RefSeq and is a predicted model, not a curated record. NCBI's taxonomy places the organism in Eukaryota, Metazoa, Chordata, Mammalia, Eulipotyphla, Erinaceidae. The transcript is spliced from 2 exons.
UGCUCCGGAAGUGAAGAGGCCAGACCACCGGCUAAUGGAUGCCGAGCCGAGGGCCUGCUGACCGCUCUCCGCGCGGGGAUAUUAGGUGUGGAGGAAAGUCCCUCUCACAUCUUACAAGAGGAAGCUGUGGUACAAAGAACUCACUGAGGUUGAGAUCUCUGGGACUACUGGAGGAGGGCAUGACUCAGCAUGUUACCCUCCUGACCCUCUGGAGCAUGACAUGCCUUCAGCAGCUUCCAGAAGGAUGGGGGAAAGUGCCCACAGUGGGAGCAGCUGCUGCUACAUGCAGACUGGCUGGCACAUGGGCUCCAUUCAGACUGGUGGAGAUUUGCAGGCAUAAUGAAGAAUGUUCAUAAGUUUCUAACACACGCUCAACAGUAUCUGGGACACAUUAGGGAUCUUCUCCACAGGCUUACCACAGAUGUGUUUCCUCUCUCUUUCUUCUUCCCCCAAAUGAUCCAUUCAAGCUCAAAGGCUAGGAAAAAAGUGUCAUAUUAGUAGCUUACUAUUCAGUAGCGACAGAAAUAUCUAGCUGUGGUCUGGGAAGUAAUGCCAUGGAUCAAGUGUCAGACCUUCAAGUAUGAGGUCCUGAGUUCAAGCCUCAACAUUCUCAUGUGCCAGAGUGAAGCUCUGGUUAUCUGUCAGUCUAUCUCACUAAUAAAUAAUUUUUAACUUUUUUUGUUUUUAGGGACCAGGUUAUCACUGAGGCUCAGUAUGUGCAUGACAAACCCAAUGCUUCUCGUGGCUCUUAUUUCAUUCCUUAAUUUUUUUUUUAAUGGAAACAUGGAAAUUGAGAGGGAAGGGUGGAGAAAGAAGGGUGGAAGUACAUAGCAUAAUGGUUACGCAAAGAGACUCUCAUGUCUGAGACUCCAAGGUCCCAGGUUCAACCCCCAGCACCACCAUAUAAGCCAGAGCUGAACAGUGCUCUGGUAAAAUAAAAAAAAAUAAUAAUAAUAGGGAGUAGAGCCGUAGUGCAGCGAGUUAAGUGCACAUGGCACGAAGCGCAAGGACCUGUGUAAGGAUCCCAGUUGGAGCCCCCGGCUCCCUACCUGCCAGGGAGUUGCUUCAGAGGCAGUGAAGCAGGUCUGUAGGUAUCUAUCUUUCUCUCCCCCUCUCUGUCUUUCCCUCCUCUCUCCAUUUCUCUCUGUCCUAUCCAACAAUGAUGACAUCAAUAACAACAACAAUAAUAACUAUAACAAUAAAACAACAAGGGCAACAAAAGGGAAUAAAUAAAUAAUAUAAUAAAAAUAAAGAGAAGGGAGAAAGAGAAAUAGCUGCAACACUGCUUAACUGCCCAUGAAGCUUUCUUCCUACAGGUGAGGACAGGGCACUUGAGCCCUUGUGCAUGGUAACCUCUACACUCUACCAGAUACACUACUAUCCUAACCCUUAAAUAAAUACAUCUUUUAAAAUG